RNAcentral lists this transfer RNA (73 nucleotides) under Flavobacterium sp. Its description in RNAcentral is "tRNA-Phe". It matches the Rfam family "tRNA". Rfam says of the family: Transfer RNA (tRNA) molecules are approximately 80 nucleotides in length. Their secondary structure includes four short double-helical elements and three loops (D, anti-codon, and T loops). Further hydrogen bonds mediate the characteristic L-shaped molecular structure. tRNAs have two regions of fundamental functional importance: the anti-codon, which is responsible for specific mRNA codon recognition, and the 3' end, to which the tRNAs corresponding amino acid is attached (by aminoacyl-tRNA synthetases). tRNAs cope with the degeneracy of the genetic code in two manners: having more than one tRNA (with a specific anti-codon) for a particular amino acid; and 'wobble' base-pairing, i.e. permitting non-standard base-pairing at the 3rd anti-codon position. The record is from RNAcentral. Lineage: Bacteria; Pseudomonadati; Bacteroidota; Flavobacteriia; Flavobacteriales; Flavobacteriaceae.
GGAAUGGUGGUGUACCCGGUGUGCACGUCUGCCUGAAGCGCAGAAGGUAUUCGUUCAAUUCGGAUCCGUUCCA